This 253-nucleotide ribosomal RNA is filed under the name uncultured bacterium. Its description in RNAcentral is "partial 16S ribosomal RNA". It matches the Rfam family "Bacterial small subunit ribosomal RNA", at positions 524 to 776 of the family's 1533-position model. The record is from RNAcentral.
UACGUAGGGCGCGAGCGUUGUCCGGAUUUAUUGGGCGUAAAGCGCGUGUAGGCGGUUUGGUAGGUCCGCUGUGAAAACUCGAGGCUCAACCUCGAGACGCCGGUGGAAACCAUCAGACUAGAGUCCGGAAGAGGAGAGUGGAAUUCCUGGUGUAGCGGUGAAAUGCGCAGAUAUCAGGAAGAACACCCGUGGCUAAGGCGGCUCUCUAGUACGGUACUGACGCUGAGACGCGAAAGCGUGGGGAGCAAACAGG